CCCUUAGAUGUUCUGGGCCGCACGCGCGCUACACUGACGAUGGCAACGAGUUUUUCCUUCGCCGAAAGGUGUGGGUAAUCUGUUGAAACAUCGUCGUGCUGGGGAUAGAUCAUUGCAAUUUUUGAUCUUGAACGAGGAAUUCCUAGUAAGCGCGAGUCAUCAGCUCGCGUUGAUUACGUCCCUGCCCUUUGUACACACCGCCCGUCGCUACUACCGAUUGAAUGGUUUAGUGAGGACUCCUGAUUGGCGCCGCCGCCCCGGCAACGGAGCAGCGGACUGCCGAAAAGUUGUUCAAACUUGAUCAUUUAGAGGAAGUAAAAGUCGUAACA
This 329-nucleotide ribosomal RNA is filed under the name uncultured eukaryote. Its description in RNAcentral is "partial 18S ribosomal RNA". It matches the Rfam family "Eukaryotic small subunit ribosomal RNA", at positions 1470 to 1796 of the family's 1831-position model. The record is from RNAcentral.